This 253-nucleotide ribosomal RNA is filed under the name uncultured bacterium. RNAcentral describes it as "partial 16S ribosomal RNA". It matches the Rfam family "Bacterial small subunit ribosomal RNA", at positions 524 to 776 of the family's 1533-position model. The record is from RNAcentral.
UACAGAGGGUGCGAGCGUUAAUCGGAAUUACUGGGCGUAAAGCGUGCGUAGACGGUUAUUUAAGUCGGAUGUGAAAUCCCCGGGCUCAACCUGGGAAUUGCAUUCGAUACUGGAUAGCUAGAGUUCGGCAGAGGGAAGCGGAAUUUCUGGUGUAGCGGUGAAAUGCGUAGAUAUCAGAAGGAACAUCAGUGGCGAAAGCGGCUUCCUGGACCAGAACUGACGAUCAGGCACGAAAGCGUGGGGAGCAAACAGG